UAGAUGCGAGAGUAGAGCAUAUCAAUAAGCGGAGGAAAAGAAACUAACAAGGAUUCCCUUAGUAACGGCGAGUGAAGCGAGAAGAGCUCAAAUUUGAAAUCUUCAAGGUUCUACCUUGACGAAUUGUAGUUUAAAGAAGUGUUUUCUGUUAGAUGAGUAGCAAAAGUUCCUUGGAAUGGGACAUCAUAGAGGGUGAGAAUCCCGUAUUUGGUUAUUCAUUCUAGCUUUGUGAUACACUUUCAAAGAGUCGGAUUGUUUGGGAAUGCAGUCCAAAAUGGGUGGUAAAUUUCAUCUAAAGCUAAAUAUUGGCGAGAGACCGAUAGCGAACAAGUACCGUGAGGGAAAGAUGAAAAGAACUUUGAAAAGAGAGUUAAACAGUACGUGAAAUUGUCAAAAGGGAAGCGUUUGACACCAGUGUUGUUUUUCCGAAAAUCAAUUACGAAUGGCUUGAUUUUGUGUUGUAUUGACCUUAUCAGCUUUCUUCACUUUUUUCGAGUCUUUCUUAAUGCACUUUUCGGUUAACAAGUCAACAUCAAUUUCUUUUGUUGUAAAAGAGUAUUCGGAAGGUGGCUUUCUUUUCGGAGAAAGUGUUUAUAGCCCUAUACUUCUACAAUCGGAGAGAUUGAGGUCUGCAGCGUAGAUCCUUCGGGGUUAGAUACAUUUGUGCUAAGUUGUAGCUUUUCAUAGACAACUUGUUGACUAUGUUUAGUCAUGCGGCUUACUCGCUUAUGCUAUUUUACCUACGCUUAGGAUGUUGAGCGCAUGUCUCUCUCU
Molecule: ribosomal RNA, 774 nt
Filed under: uncultured Neocallimastigales
Lineage: Eukaryota; Fungi; Neocallimastigomycota; Neocallimastigomycetes; Neocallimastigales
Description: partial large subunit ribosomal RNA
Rfam family: Eukaryotic large subunit ribosomal RNA
Source: RNAcentral